This is a long non-coding RNA of Oncorhynchus tshawytscha (Chinook salmon), 899 nucleotides long. The record is from Ensembl. Lineage: Eukaryota; Metazoa; Chordata; Actinopteri; Salmoniformes; Salmonidae.
CCUGUAUGCUCUAGUCGGCUGGCCCUCGCGAAAUAUUUGUCGCCAGACCCACUGGCUCCAGGUCAUCUAUAAGUCUAUGCUAGGUAAAGCUCUGCCUUAUCUCAGCUCACUGAUCAUGAUAACGACACCCACCCGAAGCAUGCGCUCCAGCAGGUAUAUCUCACUGGUCAUGAUAACAACACCCACCCGUAGCACGCGCUCCAGCAGGUAUAUCUCACUGGUCACCAUAACAACGCCCACCCGUAGCACGCGCUCCAGCAGGUAUAUCUCACUGGUCAUGAUAACAAUACCCACCCGUAGCACGCGCUCCAGCAGGUAUAUCUCACUGGUCACCAUAACAACACCCACCCGUAGCACGCGCUCCAGCAGGUAUAUCUCACUGGUCACCAUAACAACACCCACCCGUAGCACGCGCUCCAGCAGGUAUAUCUCACUGGUCACCAUAACAACACCCACCCGUAGCACGCGCUCCAGCAGGUAUAUCUCACUGGUCACGAUAACAACACCCACCCGUAGCACGCGCUCCAGCAGGUAUAUCUCACUGGUCACCAUAACAACACCUGCUUUUGCCGUCUUUCCUUCCACUAACUGUAAACAUCAGCUAUCUGAGCAGCUAACCGAUCGCUGCAGCUGUACAUAGUCCAUCUGUAAAUAGCCCACCCGAUCUACCUACCUCAUCCCCAUAUUGUUUUAUUUACUUUUCUGCUCUUUUGCACACCAGUAUCUCUACUUACACACCAUCAUCUGCUCAUCUAUCACUCCAGUGUUAAUUAAUCUGCUAAAUUGUAAUUAUUUCGCUACUAUGGCCUAUUUAUUUCCUUACCUCCUCUCGCCAUUUGCACACACUUUAUAUAGACUUUAUUUUGUUCUAUUGUGUUAUUGACUGUACGCUUGUUUAU